GGUGCAUUACGUUUGCGCGCAUUACCAUUACAUUUGCGCGCAAAAAUCAUUACGUUUGCGCGCAGCUUUUGAUUACAUUUGCGCGCAUUUUAUUGACAGGUAAACUCAGGUAAAAUACAGGUAAUAAUACUGAUUUAUUUAUCCAACUUCGCAUUCUUCGUUUUUUAUACUUAACACUUAGCCCUAUAGUUUCUGAAUUUUGUGCAACCAACUUUGGCCUAAAUGAAAACGGCAGCGUUCUAUUCUGGAAAUACAGAUCUAAAUGCAUUGUGUAUUGCGAUUUCAAAGUCAAUAUGUACGAUUCUUGGUUUAAACAAUACACAACGAAGAUAUCAUGUUGAGAAAAACAGUGUAAAUUUCCUCUGAUUUGGAUGGUAAGAGAGCAAAUACUAGUGGUACAUAAUGUCCCAAUUUUAAUCAAUGAAACGUGUAAAGUUUUUCAAAAUCUUUUGGACAGUAACUGAAAGUUCCAUCAAUUAAAAUUUCUGAAGCUUUUGUGCAUAAUGCAUCAAGAUUGGAAUUGCAUGACAGUAUAACAAUACCAUGCUCUAUGCUGUUAAAAUGAUUCCUCAAUUAUGAUUUAAUUCAAUUUUUAUUUAUAUUUUAUGCUCUUCAACUUCGUACUUUAUUUGGCCUUUUUAACUUUUUUGGAUUCGAGCGUCACUGAUGAGUCUUUUAUAGACGAAACGCGUGUCUGGCGUAUAUACAAAAUUUAGUCCUGGUAUCUAUGAUGAGUUUAUUUACCUGAGUUUACCUGUAAAAUGAAUGCGCGCAAAUGUAAUCAAAAGCAGCGCAAACGUAAAACAUUUUAAUCCCC
Molecule: long non-coding RNA, 817 nt
Filed under: Mytilus galloprovincialis (Mediterranean mussel)
Lineage: Eukaryota; Metazoa; Mollusca; Bivalvia; Mytilida; Mytilidae
Source: RNAcentral